UUUUUUCAGUAACACAUCUGUCAGCCCGGAUAUGAGCCUAGAUUACAUGUAAGUAUAUGGAUAUAAUGUAUAUAGGUCUACAUGUAUAUUUGAGUCACAGGUCGAUUUUGCAUCAUUCUUUCUGUCUACUGCAGUUCCAGUUGUAGAUAACUGGUCUUUUGAUGUCCAGCAGAUUUCUCUUUUUCUUUAGUGAAGACCAUCACCUGCAGGGUAGCCUGCAGGGUAAUUCUCAGCAGACAAGCACUUACUGUCUCCUCAUUUACUAAUGUUUAACACCCUUCUUAACUUUUACUUUUAAUUUCAAACUCAAUCCACAUGCCGAUAGGAGUGUCUUUGGACUUCACUAAUUAAGAUAGUCCCAAAGGCGAAUAUUGUAGUUAAUAAGGGAGCUCAAAUCAUUGUUCACUGAUGAAAUAACUUACCACAAAUCAUGAUAGUAUUUUACAAUUAAACAAAUGAGACCAGAAAGUUGGGUGGAAUUUUUAAAUUAAGCUGAGACCAUUUUCAUUCACCGAUAAAGUUCAUUAGAAAAAAAAUAAUGCAAGAACUUAGUGAUUUUACAAAUUUUUGUGAUUUAAUACUUAUUUUUGAGCUUGUUCCUACUGCAUGACAUGGAGUACAGUGUAACAGGAUGCUCUUAGCCACAAGCAACACUAAAUUCUGACUCACUUUGCUUGAAAAGAAAAUCAUUUUUACCAUCAUAUAAAGGCAGCCGCAGGAUUAAUUAAGUCAGUAGCCUAACAAUGUCAUCAAGGACCCAGUUUCUUUCCAUCUUUCUUUCUUGACACGUUUGGUGUAUCAGUUUAACUCACCCAAUGGCUCCAAGAGAACUAACAAAAUUCCAGGCCUUGCAAGAAUACUUUCAUCAGAAAACCUUUUAGCCCCCAUAUAUGAUGGUCAGUUUUAUGUGUCAAUUUAACAGGGCUAUAGUACUCAGUUUUAUGGUCAAACACUAACCUAGGUGUUUCCCUGAAGGUAUUUUGUACAAGUGACUAGCAUCUACAAUAAGUUAUGUAAUGGAGAUUAUCAGGAAUAAUCAGUGAGAUUCAUCCAAUUACCUGAAAGGCCUUCAGAAUGACCAUGAAUAUUCCCUGAGGAAGGAAGAAAUUCUACCUGCAAACUGCAGAAUCAGCUCCUGACCGAGAGAUUCCAGCCUGUAUUUCCUGACAGCCUUCCCUAUACAUUUUUUACUUCCUUAGACAACCCUUACAAUUACGUAACCCAAUUCUUUACAAUAAAUCUCAUUUGUAUAUUUUGCUCGUUUUGUUCUUUUCCUCUGAUGGAACCCAGACUGACAUGCCAUACUUUUAUCCGGAAU
RNAcentral lists this long non-coding RNA (1318 nucleotides) under Homo sapiens (human). Its description in RNAcentral is "HSALNT0361856". The record is from RNAcentral. Lineage: Eukaryota; Metazoa; Chordata; Mammalia; Primates; Hominidae.